This is a long non-coding RNA of Chelonia mydas (Green sea turtle), 1006 nucleotides long. RefSeq lists it as uncharacterized. The record is from RefSeq and is a predicted model, not a curated record. Lineage: Eukaryota; Metazoa; Chordata; Testudines; Cheloniidae. The transcript is spliced from 2 exons.
CCGGGAGCACUAGGGGGCGAGACAGGGCGGGUCUCGCAGGGGCCGGGGGAAAGUCCCGCUUAGCUUCCGUUCCUCCCCCUGGCUGAGCUCUCAAGCGGCUCCCUCACCCCGCCUGUGACCCUUUCCAUUGCUGCUGUCAAAAACACGAGGUCGGAGUUGCCGCUGCUGUUCUGCCCGCACCAGCAGGCACUAGGCGGGUGAAGGCAGAGACGUUGUGUUUCGCUCGGCGGGGUGAGGGAAGGUGACAUCUAGCAUCGGCGCCGCAAAUAACCCAUCCCGGGCAAGCUUUAUUAUUGGGACCCCCGGAGGCAGCUUCUUCACUUGUGUAACGCAGCCCGGCUUUCACCCUUGGUCCACUUUGAAAUUCGACACCCCACCCCGAGGCCAAACCAAGACCGGGUUGGUUGCUCUUUAAAUAGAAGAUUGGAGUUUUGCUUUUAAAUUGUGCCAGAAUCAAAGUUGACCAGUUCAUAAACAUUGUUUUUAUUCGGAGACAAAACGUAUGUGACAUUUCAAAACAAAUGGCCUACAAGCAUCAUCUACCUCUUCAGUCAGUAAAUCAUCUGUGAGAAUAGAGGAACGUAGGAACUGCUAUAUUGAUCAGACCAGUCUGUCUAAUCCAGUAUCUUGGCUCUACCAGAGAAUGGUGCAGAAAUCCCUACAAUGAACUGCUAUGGAAUAACCUAUUCAUAGAACUUUCCUCCUAAUCCUCCUAUACCAGUUAGUAGUUGACUUACAACCUUAACCAUGAAGUUUUUUUAUCCCCUAUAAUUUUUUUUAUCCUAUCUAAAGUAAUUGUGGAUGUUCUCAUUAUUCAUAUAAAUGUCUUAUCCUUUUUUACAAUAUUACUUAGUUCUUAGGACACAAUCCAACCAGUUCCACUGGUAACUUUAUAUGUUGUAUUAAAAGUGUUUACCAGUUUUAAAUUUGUUGCCUUUCAGUUACUUUUAUUUGAUUAUGAAUAAGGAUAAAUUGGAGCACCUAAUAAACCUCCUUUAUAUUUUAA